Molecule: long non-coding RNA, 2084 nt
Filed under: Heterocephalus glaber (naked mole-rat)
Lineage: Eukaryota; Metazoa; Chordata; Mammalia; Rodentia; Bathyergidae
Description: lncRNA (ENSHGLG00100039977.1)
Source: RNAcentral
CACGAAGGUCACUGGGCACAGUGAGAACUUGGCUCCUCUGGGGGUUCUGAUGCCAAAGGCCUGGUCAGCUCCUGUCUCCAGCUCAGCAGCCUUCUCCCGGCCACAGUGACAGGCCUCUGGGACACCUAAGCAGUUCUGUGGCUUCAUUAUGCUCCCCUCCUGGAGUGACUCCCGAAUCCACCAAUUCCAGAGAACUUGCAUGUAGCAGGGCAAUUUAUUGAGACUUUAAUGGAGCAGAAUAACCGAUUCAGAAAUUACCUAUGUCUUGUUUUUCUCUGCAGCAGGCUCAACACAAAGGCACGAGAGGGCAGUGCUCUGAUAGCUUGGCCAGCAGGAAAGGCUGAGAGCCAUGUGUGAGGGCAGAAGGAGGAGGCACUAUGAGCCAGCCUGUACCGUGGUUCCAGGGACCGCUCGGUUUCCGCGCCUUCAUCUAGGACACGGACCGCUCUGGCCCCUUCCCACUGGGCUCAGCGCAGCCUCCAGCCAAACCUAUUCCAACCAAGGUGGUGACAGAGACUCCAAAAAAACUAAAAUAGUCAUCUUUCAAGGUUAACAAGGAGCUACUCAGAAGCCUCAGCAUGACUGUCAAUAGCCAAUCAAAGGGAGCUGUCAGCUGCUCCCCUGAGGAAGGGUUUCAGUUAAUGAAGAGAGCAGGGCUGGGGUGGCUGCAUAUGGAGAAGAACCAGCUGUUUGAUAUCCUGCUUUGGAGCCCAAAGCUGAAGGUGAAGGAUGUGGGGUGCUGCAAUUCCCCCAAGCAGAACAGACCAGAAAGGGCCCAGUGGGAUGUCUGCAACCAGGGAAAACUUGCUACAAUCUGGGGCUCAUUCAGUGAAAUCCAUUGUCCUCUCCCCAAGAGAGGGGUACUCAAUUAAAUUUCUCCUGAGGUCUUUUUUCUCCCCCAGUGACCUUUUUCUUGAAAGAUUUUUCUUUUCUCAGAUACUGCAAGGUUAACUCAGAUGAAUAUUAUGGGAUCACAUUUAUGCAAUGUCCUUUACUGAACAUGCGCCUCAGUUUCCUUGUUUAUAAAAUGAAGGAGUGGGCAAAUACAAAAGGGUUGCAUAACACUCUGCCCCAAAAGAAUAUCAUGAGGGUUUUUUUUUUUAAGAGCUAUGGAAACUAAUUAAAAUUAAAAGAGUUUUCCUUCAGAUUCCCAAAUAAACUUCCUUCCUCAAGUGCAGUGUCAGAAGGGAAGAGGCUACUAUUUGGCUACGAUUGCUAACAGACAAUCUGCAGAGAAAGCAGAACCUCACAACUCCUUUUACUUUCAUCUUGUCAGCCAAGAAGACUGAUGUGUCUGGGAAGGUGGGGUAAACACAGGUAGGAAUGCACGGAAGCCCAUGAUGGGUGCAGAGAUAGUGAGAAUACCCCCAAACAAGCUCAAGUCUUCAGUCCUCAACAAAUUACUUCAAGACAGGUGGGACUGGGAACCACAAUCUCUAAUCUUGCAGAAAUAGUGUAAAAAAGAGGUGCCAAGUGCCUGGAGAUAACCACUUUUGUCCCAAUUUUCAAAGAGAGGUAAAAACUACGUUCUGGAAACUGGAGGCUGGUGAGCUUCAUAUUAACUCCCACAAAAUUCUCAACUGUUCUGUUAAAGAGACAACUGGAAGGAAAAUAUUUAGUAAGGAAAAUAAGAAUCAUCAGAAGCUGGCCUGAAUUCAUUAAUAUAAGUUUAUUUCAGGGAUAGUUCUGAUAUCACAUCAAGUUGGAAGAGAAAAGCAGGAUAAUUUGUAAAGUAUUUUUUAAUAAAGAUUUUGUUUGUUUACCUCUACCAGAAUAUAAGCUUCCUGAGGGCAGAAUUUUGGGGGAGGGAAGGAGUCUUUUGUUUACUGUUGCACCUACAAUAAUGUCCAACACAAAGAAGACAUCCAAUAUGCUUCUUUACAGGAAUCAAUACACAUGUAUAAUAAAAAGUUGGCAGGAGAUAGUAAAAUUUAAGUGAGCUCUCUGGUUGAUGUUGGGUUGCUUUCACUUUCUUCUUAAUUUAGGGAUUCUUUUCCUAUAUUUCUCAUUUUCUAUAAUUAGCAUAGGUUACUUUUAUAAUCACAAAAAUAAAAUAAUCUCUUCUUUGAAGGCUUACUCCUGAC